GAGGGUAUAGCUUAGUGGUAGAGCACAUGCUUAGCAUGCACGAGGUCCUGGAUUCAAUCCCCCAGUACCUCCA
Camelus ferus (Wild Bactrian camel) is the source of this 73-nucleotide transfer RNA. It matches the Rfam family "tRNA". From Rfam's summary of the family: Transfer RNA (tRNA) molecules are approximately 80 nucleotides in length. Their secondary structure includes four short double-helical elements and three loops (D, anti-codon, and T loops). The record is from Rfam. NCBI's taxonomy places the organism in Eukaryota, Metazoa, Chordata, Mammalia, Artiodactyla, Camelidae.